Molecule: ribosomal RNA, 599 nt
Filed under: Aspergillus niger
Lineage: Eukaryota; Fungi; Ascomycota; Eurotiomycetes; Eurotiales; Aspergillaceae
Description: eukaryotic LSU rRNA
Rfam family: 5.8S ribosomal RNA (bases 217-370)
Source: RNAcentral
UCCGUAGGUGAACCUGCGGAAGGAUCAUUACCGAGUGCGGGUCCUUUGGGCCCAACCUCCCAUCCGUGUCUAUUGUACCCUGUUGCUUCGGCGGGCCCGCCGCUUGUCGGCCGCCGGGGGGGCGCCUCUGCCCCCCGGGCCCGUGCCCGCCGGAGACCCCAACACGAACACUGUCUGAAAGCGUGCAGUCUGAGUUGAUUGAAUGCAAUCAGUUAAAACUUUCAACAAUGGAUCUCUUGGUUCCGGCAUCGAUGAAGAACGCAGCGAAAUGCGAUAACUAAUGUGAAUUGCAGAAUUCAGUGAAUCAUCGAGUCUUUGAACGCACAUUGCGCCCCCUGGUAUUCCGGGGGGCAUGCCUGUCCGAGCGUCAUUGCUGCCCUCAAGCCCGGCUUGUGUGUUGGGUCGCCGUCCCCCUCUCCGGGGGGACGGGCCCGAAAGGCAGCGGCGGCACCGCGUCCGAUCCUCGAGCGUAUGGGGCUUUGUCACAUGCUCUGUAGGAUUGGCCGGCGCCUGCCGACGUUUUCCAACCAUUCUUUCCAGGUUGACCUCGGAUCAGGUAGGGAUACCCGCUGAACUUAAGCAUAUCAAUAAGCGGAGGA